AACCUUGUGCUCGGGCAAGCGAGGUAGACAGUGAGGUUUAUAACCGAGUCAUCUCCGAUUGCUUAUUGAAAACUAGCAUCCUUUACGUACGUCGUUGCGAAUGCGACACGUCAAUCUCUCGCCAAGCGGCAGCU
This 134-nucleotide small nuclear RNA is filed under the name Rhodotorula sp. JG-1b. RNAcentral's name for it is "U4 spliceosomal RNA". It matches the Rfam family "U4 spliceosomal RNA". Rfam says of the family: U4 small nuclear RNA (U4 snRNA) is a component of the major U2-dependent spliceosome. The structure of U4 snRNA from yeast and human has been reported. RNAcentral also lists the same sequence under 1 other name. Lineage: Eukaryota; Fungi; Basidiomycota; Microbotryomycetes; Sporidiobolales; Sporidiobolaceae. The record is from Rfam by way of RNAcentral.